Molecule: transfer RNA, 69 nt
Filed under: Marmota monax (woodchuck)
Lineage: Eukaryota; Metazoa; Chordata; Mammalia; Rodentia; Sciuridae
Description: tRNA.Ala
Source: RNAcentral
GGAGUUGUGGCUCAGUGGUAGAGCGCUCAUCUAGCAUGUGCGAGACCCUGGGUUCCACCCUCGGCACCA